CGGCGACAGCGGCGACAACGGCGACAACGGCGACAACAGCGACAACGGCGACAGCAGCGACCCCUUGCCAUGGAAAGGGCCAAUCCCCAGGGAUGCUCUCCCCGGUGUCCCAGCCCCUGUUGUGCCUCACAAGCUCCUGCUCUGAGCCCGUGGAGCACUCCUGCGUGACUCGUGUGCCAUCCAAGGGUAACUGGAUCCCAGCACGCAGCAGCUCGUUAUUUUAGAAAAGCUAUCGUUAUUUGUGCAGCCGGACGAGGAAUCAUUCGCGAAAUGAGUGCAUUGUCCCGGUCAGACACGGGAACAGUCCUCUCCCCGCGUUCUGCACAGCGCUUGGUCUCAGGGAGCAAACCCGCUGCAGCAGCUCUGAGAGACAGAAAAACACAUUAAAAACCUGUCAGCUCAGCAAAAGGGAUCGGUGCAAGGUUUCUGGAACAGCAGCUACGAAAACGUGGGGCAGGAGAGGUUUGGCCAUGAGGGCACGACACAAAGUCCCCCAGGGAGAGCUGUUGGUAUGGAGAGUUUUCCAUGGAGAUAAAAUAAAACAAGCUCCCCUUCUCAGAUUCUUCCUCUCUGAUGCAGCAGAUGUGAAUUCACACUUUCUGCCUCAGGAUCAGCACUGCCAGCAGAAAGUUUCCUCUACCCAUCAAAAAAAACUCUUCAGUCUCUCAUCAACUCCAAGGCAAGAUCAGAUUACAAUUUAGUGCAUCUAGCAAUCGCUCCUCUGAGCUGGCACUGACAGUGUAAAUAAAGAUACUUUAUGUUAAAUAUGAAAUCAGCAUAAGCCCUGAACUCUGCAAUAAAAGAUUAGGUGGAUCAUCAAUAACAGUCAACUUAUGCUGACAGAAUUUUCCUAUGCUUUAUUCUUGGAAGUACUCUGUGAACUCCAUCCCACUUAAAAUGUGGGAAAUCUGGGCUAGGAAAGCAAUGUCACAGCAGAUUCUCAGUAACUGCAUGGUGGACCUGAGUGAUGGAAUUUCUGCACCAAAACAAAGAAAAAAAAGGCCUCCCAAAAAAACUUCCCCAGCUGCUCAGAGAUGAGGAAACCCAACCUGUCUUUCAACUUCACAGAAGCUGAACGUGCCAUGAAUAGCUUGAUCAGGUCUGAAUCACAGGUUGUACAGAACUUGGGACUAAAAUAGCUCUAUAAGCUUGCCUUACAACUGGCACAAAGAGCUUGCCUCACUCCUCACCUUUAUCUGAGAUCAAAUUGUUUAUCACAUUCCUUCCUCAUACGUCAGCUCCUUGUGAUGAAAGCUAGCCAGUGAUUAAUACAUUUUAUUAGGCUGGUUCCAGUGACUUGAAAUUAAUUUGCCCUGACUACUCAGGCUUGCUCCCACACCCACUGCCUGGCACUCCAGCCAUGCUAGGAAUGCACAAUAGAAAACAAAUUAUCUUAGGCGAUACCUCAUAAAUCUAUAGCAAUAAAAUUAACUGCACAACGGCUCCAAGCAGAAAUCAGCUUCAGGAGGCUUUUCCUCCCUUUCUCCAGGAGAAGAGAGCUAACCCAACAGCUUUAAAGCCCCAGAGAAAUCACUGCUCCCUUGUCUCUUGCACUCUUCUCUGUGCUCAGCUCAUCAAACAGAGCUGUAGAAGACAGAUAUGGAAAGCAGUCCAAACCCUUUUCAAUGUUAUAAUUACAAAGUGACAGAAUAAGAGGUUUUAUCCUGGUCUUGUUCACAUAGCUGUAAUCUGCCUUCUACUGCACCAGAUCACAGAUUCUAUCUGAAUUUACAGGCUGAAUUCUCUAUGUAUCCUUCUGCAGGCUAAAACCAAACACGUUGGAUAAAGGACGAGAAGACUUGAAUCAGCCUAGACACCGUCUGGCAGCAAACUAUACUUAACUAUUAACAAUAUCCUCUGUGCUAAUUACAGCUUGUCUUGGCUCGAGCGAGAGCUGCAAUUCCUUCGCCUUUGGCGUGAUGGGAGGCAGAUCAACUGUACAAAAAUCAGCACCGACUUAGAAGUGAUUCAGCACUGGAUGCUUUUUAUUUAAUUACUGAUUAGACUUGAGAACUGACUAGACAGCCAUGGCUUGUCUCAGUUGCAAGGCAUUGUUUGAGUUCCCGUCACAGCCGUCCACACAAGAUCUACAUGAUGAGACCUCACACCACGUUCUCUUCUAGCAGGUUUGUAGAUUAUGGAGAGACCUGGAAUUCAAAGGUCUGUUGACAUAAUGAGAUUAAUGUACGUGCUUUCUUCUUGCCCAUACACACGUGAGAAGUCAUUUUUAUUCAGACAGUUUACCGUCUCUCCACUCGUGGAUUUUGUACUUUUGUCAGGGUAGUUUAACUGGACUUUAAUGGAAAAUAAUUGAUCUGUCUCAGAAUUACUACAAUAAGGAAGGUUAGCACUGACAUUACCAGAUCCUGCAAUCGUAUUUGUGAUUAAAAUGAAAACAAGCUCCGUGAACACCUUUACGUUCAGGACACAGAGCCACAUCCUGGGAGGGAGACUUCAUACUUUUGUCUUGACCAAGGAUUGUUUGUGUAAUGUGUGAACAUCAGCAAACAUUGGUGUGGUUUGUGUGUUACAUCCGUGGGGUGCCAAGACCCCAGAAUCUCAGAAUGGCUGGGG
Parus major (Great Tit) is the source of this 2574-nucleotide long non-coding RNA. RefSeq lists it as uncharacterized. The record is from RefSeq and is a predicted model, not a curated record. The transcript is spliced from 3 exons. Lineage: Eukaryota; Metazoa; Chordata; Aves; Passeriformes; Paridae.